UACGGGGGGAGCAAGCGUUGUUCGGAUUUACUGGGCGUAAAGGGCGCGUAGGCGGCGCAACAAGUCACUUGUGAAAUCUCCGAGCUUAACUCGGAACGGUCAACUGAUACUGCUCGGCUAGAGUGCGGAAGGGGCAACUGGAAUUCUUGGUGUAGCGGUGAAAUGCGUAGAUAUCGGGAGGAACACCAGUGGCGAAGGCGCCUUCCUGGCCUGUAACUGACGCUGAUACGCGAAAGCGUGGGGAGCAAACAGG
RNAcentral lists this ribosomal RNA (253 nucleotides) under uncultured bacterium. RNAcentral's name for it is "partial 16S ribosomal RNA". It matches the Rfam family "Bacterial small subunit ribosomal RNA", at positions 524 to 776 of the family's 1533-position model. The record is from RNAcentral.